Long non-coding RNA from Sphaeramia orbicularis (orbiculate cardinalfish), 447 nucleotides. RefSeq lists it as uncharacterized. Lineage: Eukaryota; Metazoa; Chordata; Actinopteri; Kurtiformes; Apogonidae. The transcript is spliced from 2 exons. The record is from RefSeq and is a predicted model, not a curated record.
UAAAUAGAGCCGCACACUCAUUAACAUCCUCUUUUCCUUGUUGCAGUGAUGGGUGUCGGUGGUGUUUGUGGCGGACAGACGCAUAAUCCACUCGUGGUGGCUCCAUACACGGAUUGAAUCACCUGGGCUAGAUCUUGGAGCCCAAGGAUAAGGUUAGUAUCAUCCUUGAAUAGACGUGAUGUACUGAUUUCACAUGUCCUGCAGAAAUGGACUCAAAAUAGAAUAGUAUUUUACUUAACUCUCUCUUCUGCUCUUGCAGGUAAAGGAUCCUUCAUCAGCAACUCCAGUAAUGGGUCACCCCCAUGUGUCAGAGUUAAAAGUAAAGCAUGUUAUUUGUGUUGUUUUUUUUUUAUUACAUGUAAUGCUGUAAUGUGUUCUGUUUGAGUUUCCUGGAAGGUGUAAAACUGUACCAAGAUUUUACUAACCCAGUUAAUAAAGCUGAGCUGU